GCUGGGCGCGGUGGCGCACGCCUGUAAUCCCAGCGGCUCAGGAGGCUGAGGCAGGAGGAUCAAGAGUUCAAAGUCAGCCUCAGCAAAAGCAAGGCACUAAGCAACUCAGUGAGACCCUGUCUCCA
RNAcentral lists this small RNA (125 nucleotides) under Marmota monax (woodchuck). The record is from RNAcentral. Lineage: Eukaryota; Metazoa; Chordata; Mammalia; Rodentia; Sciuridae.